Molecule: ribosomal RNA, 301 nt
Filed under: uncultured bacterium
Lineage: Bacteria
Description: partial 16S ribosomal RNA
Rfam family: Bacterial small subunit ribosomal RNA
Source: RNAcentral
CAGUAGCCGCGGUAAUACCGAGGUUGCAAGCGUUAAUCGGAAUUACUGGGCGUAAAGCGCGCGUAGGUGGUUUGUUAAGUUGGAUGUGAAAUCCCCGGGCUCAACCUGGGAACUGCAUCCAAAACUGGCAAGCUAGAGUAUGGUAGAGGGUGGUGGAAUUUCCUGUGUAGCGGUGAAAUGCGUAGAUAUAGGAAGGAACACCAGUGGCGAAGGCGACCACCUGGACUGAUACUGACACUGAGGUGCGAAAGCGUGGGGAGCAAACAGGAUUAGAUACCCCUGUAGUCCCUGUCUCUUAUAC